This 332-nucleotide long non-coding RNA is filed under the name Durio zibethinus. RNAcentral describes it as "long non-coding RNA (DZIB_LNC000276)". The record is from RNAcentral. Lineage: Eukaryota; Viridiplantae; Streptophyta; Magnoliopsida; Malvales; Malvaceae.
UAGUCUUGACACGGAUUAGGCAAUGAACAAUAGUAAAAAGGGGAUGGAAACCGAUGGUGACUUCUAGUUCUUUUUGUAGAUCUUGGUAACAAUUUUUUUAUAUCUAGGCUUUUCUUGUUAUUUUUGGGAAAUCUAAUUGGAUAGAAAGAAAGAGGAAGUUGAGACGAGUUUUAGGUUUUUUGGGUUGAAAUGGAUGGUGGCAGACAAUAAAUGAUGGUGGUUGACGAUGGGUGAUAGGGGUGCGAUGGCAGCAUGCCAAAAUUUAGGCGGAGUUGAGAGGUGAAAGGAUGGAGAGGGUGUAGAGAGAAGAAGAAUGAAGAAACGAAAAAAAA